RNAcentral lists this signal recognition particle RNA (339 nucleotides) under Vombatus ursinus (common wombat). Its description in RNAcentral is "Metazoan signal recognition particle RNA (ENSVURG00010003177.1)". It matches the Rfam family "Metazoan signal recognition particle RNA". Rfam says of the family: The signal recognition particle (SRP) is a universally conserved ribonucleoprotein. The record is from Rfam by way of RNAcentral. Lineage: Eukaryota; Metazoa; Chordata; Mammalia; Diprotodontia; Vombatidae.
GCCAGUUGUGGUGACACACAGCUCUAAUCCCAACUACUGGGGAGGCUGAGGCUGAUGGAUCUCUUGAGCUUCAGAGUUCUGAGCUGCUAUGGGCUAUGCUGAUCAGGUUUCUGUGUUAAAUUAGGCAUCAUUAUCUGAUGAGAGAGAGAGAGAGAGAGAGAGAGAGAGAGAGAGAGAGAGAGAGAGAGAGAGAGAGAAAUCAGGUUGCCUAAAGAAGGGACAACUGGACCAGGUUGGAAAGGGAAGAUGUCAAAGCUUCCUUGAUGAUCAGUAGUAGGAUUGGGUCCAUAAGUGGCCCCAGCAUUCCAGCCUAGGCAAGAUGGUGAGACCCAGUCUUAA